UCUCUAUCCGUUCUUAACAACUGUGCGCCAAACGCGGCAACGGAAUUGUUAAUUAGUCGUCACUAAAGAAAUAUUUCAAACGAAUUUAAACGGUAGCCAGUGUAAAAAAUGGCGGAUCAAUGCACGUGAGGCGGGGAGAAUGCGUAGGGACAGUUCCGAAAUCCAGUUCCCCAGGAGGUAACGGGUCAGUAACGCGAUCGUAAUAGCGAGAAAUCGUGCAUCGAUCGAAUCGUAAGGGGGAUGUCUCAUGAAAAUUUGAUCUUUGUGUUUUGUUCCAACGUUCGUAUCGAGCCACCCCUCGAAUGGACAAACGUCAAUAAAACAGCGCAUGCGCUAUACCGGUUUCUAUAUUUCUCCGCCACCGUUCUCUUUCGUGCCCCGUUUCUCUGAUUUUCAAUUUAUUUAUCUUUGUCGGUGAACAAUAUAUAUAUGAAACGAGACGAAUCAAUGGUACAAUGGUAAAAAGAUCUAAAGUGGAAAUACUUCUCGUGAUCCACUUUCUAUUUUUUAAGAAUAAUAUUGUUUAGGAGUCAAUAGAAUAUUCUUCGUAAAGGUUAAAUUGUUCAUUGACUCCGUUAUAAAUUAACCGUUAUAAAUUGAAUCGUAACGAUUUAUUAGAAUGAUAUAUCGUCGAAGAAUUUGAUGUUUUUGCUCGUAAACUGUUUGUAUUAUGCAACAGAUAAUGUACGAGGAGUGGACAGGUCUCGUCACGGAUCAUUGAACCGAAGAAUGAAUUAAUAAGCAAAGGGAUAGACUCGCCUUCUAGGGAAUUUAAUUUCACUAUAUUUUUUUCGUUCCAAUUAUUAGAGAGAAAUAUAGAGAUCACGUCAAAAAUGAUGAUUGCGAGAAUAUAUCAUUCUUUUUUCUAUUUCUGUCUGCAUCGGUUCAAUUUAAAUAAAUUUAAACCCAGACGAAAUUGUCCCUGUUCCAUUCUUUCAUCAGUGGAUCUGGUCUGGUUGUUUAGACAUUUGAUCAGAAUGAUGAGACUAACAUGUGCACAGGAUGAAGUCACCGCUUUAAUACACUUAACGUUAAUAAGAAACUCGAGUGGGUCGAAUUGACCUCUAUUUAUUAAUCCAACACCAUCGACCCGUUCGUCAUAUGUAUUUGUAUGCCCCUUUUAUUUCCGAGAAUCUCUCAGGCGUGCAAUACUAUAUGAAAAAAAUUAUCGAAUCAACUUGUGAUCGAUAAGAAUAAUUAAGAAGGAGAAAAAAAAAAACAAACUUUUAAAGGCUGCCAACGAACCAUGAAGUGUUCGAUUUCAAUGGUAAUUAAACCUAAUCAAUUCGUUCAAGUUCGGCAUGAUCGAUUAUCCGUGAUCGUAGGAAAUAAUUUAAUUAAUCGAACGACCGUACGAGAGAAAAAAUUAUAUAAGAUAAAUCAAAUAUAUUUGCAAUUUGUUCUAUAUUAUCUGAUCGUAAUUGUUUAUAAAUCGGAAGUCUGAAAAAGCCCCAUUGAUAAGAUCUCUUUCACGGGUGUCGAUUCCACGCGGAAAUUCAUUUCCUUAGAAUGGGUGCAUUGUUAUCGAAACGAGUUAAACUGUGUUUACAAUAGAUCGAGGGGCUUAUCUAUACGGUCUAUGGCUGUACACUAUACGAGGCACGGGAUACGCCUACGAGAGUCGAAUGAUUCACA
RNAcentral lists this long non-coding RNA (1635 nucleotides) under Apis mellifera (honey bee). Its description in RNAcentral is "uncharacterized LOC113219040". Lineage: Eukaryota; Metazoa; Arthropoda; Insecta; Hymenoptera; Apidae. The record is from RNAcentral.